RNAcentral lists this long non-coding RNA (731 nucleotides) under Mytilus galloprovincialis (Mediterranean mussel). Lineage: Eukaryota; Metazoa; Mollusca; Bivalvia; Mytilida; Mytilidae. The record is from RNAcentral.
UCUUCUUCUUCUUCCGUUAAGGAGUUGACCUCAUAUUUGAGUGAUUAACUAACUCCGCUCGGUAAAACAGGAGGCUUCUCCAUUGAUUAAAAGUGAAUAUUAACAAAAUAAUUAAAACUAUUUACACUGUACAAUUUGGCAAACUGAUGUCUAGUUAGGCUGCAUCUGGGUCCAGGGCACACUGGCUAAUCUGGCCCUGAACUCUUCGAGUGUUGGUGCAGCUGCUACUGUGUCUGGCAGAAGGUUCCAGUCCCUUAUAGAGCGUGGGAAGAAGGAGUUGUUGUAUACUUCCUUAGUAGCUCUUAUCUGUCUAAGUCUGUGGCCACCCUUGUUCUGUUGUCCCCAGGUGUGUAGUAGAUAGCUGGUUGUAUCUCCACUAGUUGGUUCUGUAUCUUGUAGCAUAGUACGAGUCGCUGUUUAAUUCGUCUAUACUGUAGUGGAUCCCACUGGAGUUGGUCUAAUAAUCCAGUGACGCACCCUGGGGAAGUGUCUGUGUACUGGUUGUAGACAAAUCGUGCUGCUUUACGCUGUACCCGGUCGAUGUCUUUGAUCAAUGUGGUUUGAUGGGGGUCCCACACUGUGGCAGCGUACUCAAUCGAUGGUCUGAUGAGAGCACAAUAGGCUGUGUUUUUAACAGAUGGUUUGCAUCGGCCCAGGUUUCUGCGGAGAAAACCGAGGGUCCUGGUUGCUUUUCCUGUGGUGUUAAUAAUGUGCUUAUUCCACUGUAGGUC